RNAcentral lists this ribosomal RNA (253 nucleotides) under uncultured bacterium. RNAcentral describes it as "partial 16S ribosomal RNA". It matches the Rfam family "Bacterial small subunit ribosomal RNA", at positions 524 to 776 of the family's 1533-position model. The record is from RNAcentral.
UACGAAGGGGGCUAGCGUUGUUCGGAAUUACUGGGCGUAAAGCGCGCGUAGGCGGAUAUUUAAGUCAGGGGUGAAAUCCCGGGGCUCAACCUUGGAACUGCCUUCGAAACUGCGGGUCUUGAGUUCGAGAGAGGUGAGUGGAAUUCCGAGUGUAGAGGUGAAAUUCGUAGAUAUUCGGAGGAACACCAGUGGCGAAGGCGGCUCACUGGCUCGAUACUGACGCUGAGGUGCGAAAGCGUGGGGAGCAAACAGG